UACACUCCUACGGGAGGCAGCAGUAGGGAAUCUUCCACAAUGGGUGCAAACCUGAUGGAGCAAUGCCGCGUGAGUGAAGAAGGUCUUCGGAUCGUAAAGCUCUGUUGUUAGAGAAGAACACGUGCUAGGUAACUACUAGCGCCUUGACGGUAUCUAACCAGAAAGUCACGGCUAACUACGUGCCAGCAGCCGCGGUAAUACGUAGGUGACAAGCGUUGUCCGGAUUUAUUGGGCGUAAAGGGAGCGCAGGCGGUCUGUUUAGUCUAAUGUGAAAGCCCACGGCUUAACCGUGGAACGGCAUUGGAAACUGACAGACUUGAAUGUAGAAGAGGAAAAUGGAAUUCCAAGUGUAGCGGUGGAAUGCGUAGAUAUUUGGAGGAACACCAGUGGCGAAGGCGAUUUUCUGGUCUAACAUUGACGCUGAGGCUCGAAAGCGUGGGGAGCGAACAGGAUUAGAUACCCUUGUAGUCCCAUG
RNAcentral lists this ribosomal RNA (475 nucleotides) under uncultured organism. RNAcentral describes it as "partial 16S ribosomal RNA". It matches the Rfam family "Bacterial small subunit ribosomal RNA", at positions 332 to 799 of the family's 1533-position model. The record is from RNAcentral.